Molecule: long non-coding RNA, 402 nt
Organism: Mercurialis annua (annual mercury)
Lineage: Eukaryota; Viridiplantae; Streptophyta; Magnoliopsida; Malpighiales; Euphorbiaceae
Exons: 3
Source: RefSeq, a predicted model, not a curated record
UCUGUUCUUAGUGUUGUUAUUUUUUUGAGUUUGGUGGUUGAUUUCAUGGUCUUUGACAAUUCUGUUUAUGUUUCUCUUUUGACAUAUGUGGAGACAUUGAAGGGGUGGAAGCCUGAAUCUGUUGAUUUGUGCCAUUGAUCAAAGCCUGUGAUCUGCUUGUGUAUCUGUGAUUCUCUGGUUUUAUCUGUGAUUCUCUGGUUUUUAUAAAAGUGGAAGCCUAAGUCCCUUUGUUGGCAGAUGGAAACCAAUUCACAGAUUCCAAUAGUUGAGCGAAUUGGGACUGAGAGCAAUAUAGCUCCCAGUCCUAUUGCUCCUGUUGAUGGUGCUGCUGCUGUGGGUAAUAUUGAGGGUUCAACACAGGCUCAACAAGAGAAUGUAGUUGAGCCUAAUACAAAAAAAAGG